AGCUCCAAUAGCGUAUAUUAAAGUUGUUGCAGUUAAAAAGCUCGUAGUUGAAUUUCUGAUAGAAGGGAGCGGUUCCGCAUUCUUGCGGAUACUGGCUCGUCUUCCGUCAUCCUUGGGCUUAGUCUCGCUGAUAUUAACUUAUCGGCGUGUUCGAUGCCCAUCGUUUACUGUGAGCAAAUUAGAGUGUUUCAAAGCAGGCAUUUUGCCAUUGAAUAUAUUAGCAUGGAAUAAUAAGAUAGGAUUUCACGAUUUUAUUUUGUUGGUUUGCGUUGUGAAAUAAUGAUUAAGAGGGACAGUUGUGGGUAUUCGUAUUCAGAUGUCAGAGGUGAAAUUCUUAGAUUAUCGGAAGACGAACGACUGCGAAAGCAUUUACCAAGGAUGUUUUCA
RNAcentral lists this ribosomal RNA (387 nucleotides) under uncultured marine Chaetocerotaceae. Its description in RNAcentral is "SSU rRNA". It matches the Rfam family "Eukaryotic small subunit ribosomal RNA", at positions 587 to 972 of the family's 1831-position model. Lineage: Eukaryota; Bacillariophyta; Thalassiosirophyceae; Chaetocerotales; Chaetocerotaceae. The record is from RNAcentral.